GGGGGCGAUCAGGGUUCGACGGGAGUAAUGAGACGAAGGUGGCAUGUACGGGACGCCGUUGGCCCGUUAAAAAACGGCACUAUUCCAUAAUCGCCAACGAUUAUGAAAUCGCUGUAGCUGCUUAACUAACCCUUAAGCCAGUUACCGUCUUCUCCUCUCCCGUCCACGGGGGGGAUGCGGACGUCAGCUAAGUGGACUGGCCGCGCGGUUUCCGUUUCCGGAUCGCGGGGUGAGAACUUAGGAAACUGGCCGGCAUGGAAUCCUGUCUGUGGGAGUUAGUGCCGGUGAGAUCCAGAACAUAGACUAAACAUGUAGAAGCCUUCUGUUGACGACUUUCGGACGGGGGUUCGAUUCCCCCCGCCUCCACCA
Molecule: transfer-messenger RNA, 369 nt
Filed under: Nitrospinaceae
Lineage: Bacteria; Pseudomonadati; Nitrospinota; Nitrospinia; Nitrospinales
Also listed under: 1 other name
Description: Nitronauta sp020430445 Standard tmRNA
Rfam family: transfer-messenger RNA
About the family: Bacterial tmRNA, also known as 10Sa RNA or SsrA, is named for its dual tRNA and mRNA-like properties. Its role is to liberate the mRNA from a stalled ribosome. To accomplish this part of the tmRNA is used as a reading frame that ends in a translation stop signal.
Source: RNAcentral